GCUUGGCAUUCGGUCUGGUUUCUUCUCCCUCGGUUGCAGGUUCGUUGGGUCAGCCCUCAAAAUGAAGGUCGGUCUUCGGGUCUUCCUGAUGGGCCUCAAUCAACCCACCUACAGGGACGUUCAACAUUGGUCGUUCAUUCUCCUUGGGCACGUGGCUUGCAAGCCCAUGAGUUGGGCAUAGUGGGUCGGGUGACUCGGGCCACUCGCCCACG
This 212-nucleotide long non-coding RNA is filed under the name Carica papaya (papaya). RNAcentral's name for it is "long non-coding RNA (CPAP_LNC001977)". Lineage: Eukaryota; Viridiplantae; Streptophyta; Magnoliopsida; Brassicales; Caricaceae. The record is from RNAcentral.